Molecule: ribosomal RNA, 509 nt
Filed under: uncultured marine bacterium
Lineage: Bacteria
Description: bacterial SSU rRNA
Rfam family: Bacterial small subunit ribosomal RNA
Source: RNAcentral
UGGGGAAUAUUGCACAAUGGGGGAAACCGUGAUGCAGCCAUACCGCGUGUGUGAAGAAGGCCUUCGGGUUGUAAAGCACUUUCAGUUGUGAGGAAAGUUUAGUAGUUAAUACCUGCUAGAUGUGACGUUAGCAACAGAAGAAGCCCCGGCUAACUCCGUGCCAGCAGCCGCGGUAAUACGGAGGGUGCGAGCGUUAAUCGGAAUUACUGGGCGUAAAGCGCCCGCAGGCGGUCUGUUAAGCUAGAUGUGAAAGCCCCGCGCUCAACGUGGGAGGGUCAUUUAGAACUGGCAGACUAGAGUCUUGGAGAGGGGAGUGGAAUUCCAGGUGUAGCGGUGAAAUGUGUAGAGAUCUGGAGGAACAUCAAUGGCGAAGGCAACUCCCUGGCCAAAGACUGACGCUCAUGUGCGAAAGUGUGGGUAGCGAACAGGAUUAGAUACCCUGGUAGUCCACACCGUAAACGCUGUCUACUAGCUGUUUGUGAAUUUAAUUCGUGAGUAGCGAAGCUAAC